This is a long non-coding RNA of Saccostrea cuccullata (small rock oyster), 702 nucleotides long. RefSeq lists it as uncharacterized. The record is from RefSeq and is a predicted model, not a curated record. The transcript has 4 exons. Lineage: Eukaryota; Metazoa; Mollusca; Bivalvia; Ostreida; Ostreidae.
UUCAUUUUGGAAGUUUUGCCGCUUUUCAUACAUCCAAGGGGCAUGUAAGUCUAAAAUUUUUAUUAGAAAAAUAUAAGCCUAGGAUAAAAAAUAACUGCCUGCAAUUUGCUUAAUUUUAUCUGACAAAAACAAAAUUUUAUUUCCUAAACAUGCUAAAUGAGAACAGAGUUUGAGUGCUUUGAAAAAGACUAACUUGUUUAACAAUAACAUCAAAACUACUUAAAUUCAGUUAAUUUUGGGAAAAAAACAUUUAAUUUUGUACUGGAAUUUGAACAGUAGCUCGCUGCUGGGGAUUACAGUAUGAUGAGUAUCUCUCCUUUCCGUCGAUACUCCCUUGGUGCUGCAAUAUACACAGUCGACUGGAAGAAGUCCUCGACCUCAGCAUACAUGAAGUCAUAGCAAGAAGCAGUGAAAGCCACAGCAGAGAUUGGAUGGAGCAUAAUUUUUUCUAUGUAUCGGCGCUUCUAUGGAUGUCAUAUUUAGAUCAGAUGAGAUCUGAGCCUUGUUCUGAAUUUCAAAAUCCCCUUUGACAACACCUGCACAGCUGAGCAAUCAACGACCUUCUGACUAAGGGCUGAAUUAUAGUGAAAACUGCCUUUCAGAGACUUUGAAACAGAUUGAUGAAUAAACCACAUGCAUUAUGUCGGAGGAAUCUAGCCGGAGCACCUAUUUAGCAACCAGGACACAAAGAUGUACCUGUAC